RNAcentral lists this ribosomal RNA (497 nucleotides) under uncultured bacterium. RNAcentral describes it as "partial 16S ribosomal RNA". It matches the Rfam family "Bacterial small subunit ribosomal RNA", at positions 28 to 507 of the family's 1533-position model. The record is from RNAcentral.
GAUGAACGCUGGCGGCGUGCCUAACACAUGCAAGUCGAGCGAACGGACGAGAAGCUUGCUUUUCUAAUGUUAGCGGCGGACGGGUGAGUAACACGUGGAUAAUCUACCCAUAAGAUUGGGAUAACCUCGGGAAACCGGAGCUAAUACCGGAUAAUAUUUUGAACCGCAUGGUUCCAAAGUGAAAGACGCUCUUGCUGUCACUUAUAGAUGGAUCCGCGCUGCUUUAGCUGGUUGCUAAGGUAACGGCUUACCAAGGCAACGAUGCAUAGACGACCGGAGAGGGUGAUAGGCCACACGAGAACUGAGACGGGGUCAAGACGCCUACGGGAGGCAGCAGUAUGCUAUGUUCCGCAAUAGGCGGGAACCUGACGGAGCAACGCCACGUGUGUGAUGGAGGUCUUCGGAUCGUGAAACUCUGUUAUUGGGGAAGAACAUAUUUGUAAGUAGCUGUACAGAUCUUGACGGUACCUGCUCAAAAAGCCACGGCUAACUACGUG